This 267-nucleotide ribosomal RNA is filed under the name uncultured bacterium. RNAcentral's name for it is "partial 16S ribosomal RNA". It matches the Rfam family "Bacterial small subunit ribosomal RNA", at positions 15 to 236 of the family's 1533-position model. The record is from RNAcentral.
GAUCCUGGCUCAGGACGAACGCUGGCGGCGUGCCUAACACAUGCAAGUCGAACGGAGAAUUUUAUUUCGGUAGAAUUCUUAGUGGCGAACGGGUGAGUAACGCGUAGGCAACCUGCCCUUUAGACGGGGACAACAUUCCGAAAGGAGUGCUAAUACCGGAUGUGAUCAUCGUGCCGCAGGUUUUUUUUUUUUUUUUUUUUUUUUUUUUUUUCAGGAUGAAGAAAGAUGCCUCUACAAGUAAGCUAUCGCUAAGGAGUGGCCGUGCGU